GCGGUCAUCGUCUAGUUUGGUCAGGACACUGGCCUUCCAAGCCCGUAACCCGGGUUCAAAUCCCGGUGACCGCA
RNAcentral lists this transfer RNA (74 nucleotides) under Nitrososphaera sp. RNAcentral's name for it is "tRNA-Gly". It matches the Rfam family "tRNA". From Rfam's summary of the family: Transfer RNA (tRNA) molecules are approximately 80 nucleotides in length. Their secondary structure includes four short double-helical elements and three loops (D, anti-codon, and T loops). Lineage: Archaea; Thermoproteati; Nitrososphaerota; Nitrososphaeria; Nitrososphaerales; Nitrososphaeraceae. The record is from RNAcentral. RNAcentral also lists the same sequence under 2 other names.